AUACAUAAUCAAAAAUUGUUAAUAAAAGUUAAAAACGAUUCUGAGUCUGUUCAGAAUCCGGGGCUUUCUCUUUUCCUAGGCAGCUGUAAGUUUAUAUUUAUGCAUAGUCAUAUAUGACAUUGCUAAGUAAAAGGAAAGUGAACAAAAGUUGCAAUUCAAAUGUUGAUAGUUUAUUGACUUCUAUUAAAUAGGUAUGCAUAAGAUGACUCCACCAAUUAAAGAUCUGCUGCCUAGACUCACCCCCAUCUUAAAGAACAGACAUGAAAAAGUACAAGAGAAUUGUAUUGAUCUUGUUGGUCGUAUUGCCGACAGGGGAGCUGAAUAUGUAUCUGCAAGAGAGUGGAUGAGGAUUUGCUUUGAGCUUUUAGAGCUCUUAAAAGCCCACAAAAAGGCUAUUCGUAGAGCCACAGUCAACACAUUUGGUUAUAUUGCAAAGGCCAUUGGGUGAGUGUUAUUUACUUCCAUUAAAAAAAA
This 474-nucleotide small RNA is filed under the name Pongo abelii (Sumatran orangutan). RNAcentral describes it as "retained intron". Lineage: Eukaryota; Metazoa; Chordata; Mammalia; Primates; Hominidae. The record is from RNAcentral.